This 54-nucleotide small RNA is filed under the name Homo sapiens (human). RNAcentral describes it as "nc002 non-coding RNA". Lineage: Eukaryota; Metazoa; Chordata; Mammalia; Primates; Hominidae. The record is from RNAcentral.
UGAAGAGAAGGUGCUUCUCCUAGGGCCCGAGUCUAGGUGUCAUGGUGGUGGCUG